RNAcentral lists this ribosomal RNA (472 nucleotides) under uncultured organism. RNAcentral's name for it is "partial 16S ribosomal RNA". It matches the Rfam family "Bacterial small subunit ribosomal RNA", at positions 334 to 797 of the family's 1533-position model. The record is from RNAcentral.
CACUCCUGCGGGAGGCAGCAGUGGGGAAUUUUGGACAAUGGGCGAAAGCCUGAUCCAGCAAUGCCGCGUGAGUGAAGAAGGCCUUCGGGUUGUAAAGCUCUUUUGUCAGGGAAGAAACGGUGAAAGCUAAUAUCUUUUGCUAAUGACGGUACCUGAAGAAUAAGCACCGGCUAACUACGUGCCAGCAGCCGCGGUAAUACGUAGGGUGCAAGCGUUAAUCGGAAUUACUGGGCGUAAAGCGUGCGCAGGCGGUUUUGUAAGUCUGAUGUGAAAUCCCCGGGCUCAACCUGGGAAUUGCAUUGGGGACUGCAAGGCUAGAAUCUGGCAGAGGGGGGUAGAAUUCCACGUGUAGCAGUGAAAUGCGUAGAUAUGUGGAGGAACACCGAUGGCGAAGGCAGCCCCCUGGGUCAAGAUUGACGCUCAUGCACGAAAGCGUGGGGAGCAAACAGGAUUAGAAACCCGUGUAGUCCCA